This is a long non-coding RNA of Anopheles nili, 314 nucleotides long. RefSeq lists it as uncharacterized. NCBI's taxonomy places the organism in Eukaryota, Metazoa, Arthropoda, Insecta, Diptera, Culicidae. The transcript is spliced from 2 exons. The record is from RefSeq and is a predicted model, not a curated record.
CCACGACGACGAGCCGCAGCAGUAGUAGCAGGCACUGAAGAGCAAAAAAGACAAGCAAUAAGAAAAUAAAAUGGCGAUCUUUGCGUGUUGUACAUUUUUCAUUGCGGCCGUUUAAGGGUGUGCGUAUUUGUGUUGUGUAAAGUGUGCCCCGGUGCCAGGUGAUUUAACAACACGAGCACACACGUGCCUCCAGCCGAGAGUGGUGAAGUGAGAGAAAAAGAGAGCAAGUGUGAGAGAAAAAGAGAGAAGAAAAAGAAAAAGCGAGAGAGAGUGAAGGGAAAACGACCAAAAGUGUGCGGGCGAGAGAAAGAGAG